GACGAACGCUGGCGGCGUGCUUAACACAUGCAAGUCGAACGGAAAGGCCCUGCUUUUGUGGGGUGCUCGAGUGGCGAACGGGUGAGUAACACGUGAGUAACCUGCCCUUGACUUUGGGAUAACUUCAGGAAACUGGGGCUAAUACCGGAUAGGAGCUCCUGCUGCAUGGUGGGGGUUGGAAAGUUUCGGCGGUUGGGGAUGGACUCGCGGCUUAUCAGCUUGUUGGUGGGGUAGUGGCUUACCAAGGCUUUGACGGGUAGCCGGCCUGAGAGGGUGACCGGCCACAUUGGGACUGAGAUACGGUCCAGACUCCUACGGGAGGCAGCAGUGGGGAAUAUUGCACAAUGGGCGGAAGCCUGAUGCGGCAACGCCGCGUGCGGGAUGACGGCCUUCGGGUUGUAAACCGCUUUCGCCUGUGACGAAGCGUGAGUGACGGUAAUGGGUAAAGAAGCACCGGCUAACUACGUG
RNAcentral lists this ribosomal RNA (468 nucleotides) under uncultured bacterium. RNAcentral describes it as "partial 16S ribosomal RNA". It matches the Rfam family "Bacterial small subunit ribosomal RNA", at positions 28 to 507 of the family's 1533-position model. The record is from RNAcentral.